This 536-nucleotide ribosomal RNA is filed under the name uncultured bacterium. RNAcentral describes it as "bacterial SSU rRNA". It matches the Rfam family "Bacterial small subunit ribosomal RNA", at positions 774 to 1319 of the family's 1533-position model. The record is from RNAcentral.
ACGCAAUAGAUACCCUGGUAGUCCACGCCGUAAACGAUGGAUACUAGCUGUUGGAGGUAUCGACCCCUUCAGUAGCGAAAGCUAACGCGUUAAGUAUCCCGCCUGUGGGGUACGGUCGCAAGACUAAAACAUAAAGGAAUUGACGGGGAUCAGCACAAGCGGUGGAUUAUGCUCUUUAAUUCGAUGCUAACCGAUGAACCUUACCAGGGUUUGACAUCCCGAUAGCCGAACUUCGAAAGAAGUUUUUCAUUUAGUUGGAUCGGUGACAGGUGUUGCAUGGCCGUCGUCAGCUCGUGUCGUGAGAUGUUAGGUUAAGUCCUUCAACGAGCGCAACCCUUGUGAAUAGUUGUAUUUUUCUAUUCAGACUGCCUUAGUAAUAGGGAGGAAGGAGGGGAUGAUGUCAGGUCAGUAUUACCCUUACAUCCUGGGCUAGAAGCAUAAUACAAUGGCCGGUACAAUGCGCAGCAAAGCCGCGAGGUGGAGCAAAUCGCAUCAAAGCCGGUCCCAGUUCGGAUUGGAGGCUGAAACUCGCCUCC